AACGAACGCUGGCGGCAGGCCUAACACAUGCAAGUCGAACGCACCUUCGGGUGAGUGGCGCACGGGUGAGUAACGCGUGGGAACGUGCCCUUUGGUUCGGAAUAACCCCGGGAAACUGGGGCUAAUACCGGGAUAUCUCCUUCGGGAGAAAGAUUUAUCGCCAAAGGACCGGCCCGCGUAGGAUUAGCUAGUUGGUGGGGUAAUGGCCUACCAAGGCGACGAUCCUUAGCUGGUCUGAGAGGAUGAUCAGCCACACUGGGACUGAGACACGGCCCAGACUCCUACGGGAGGCAGCAGUGGGAAUAUUGGACAAUGGGCAAAGCCUGAUCCAGCCAUGCCGCGUGAGUGAUGAAGGCCUU
RNAcentral lists this ribosomal RNA (359 nucleotides) under uncultured bacterium. RNAcentral's name for it is "bacterial SSU rRNA". It matches the Rfam family "Bacterial small subunit ribosomal RNA", at positions 29 to 418 of the family's 1533-position model. The record is from RNAcentral.